Molecule: ribosomal RNA, 474 nt
Filed under: uncultured bacterium
Lineage: Bacteria
Description: bacterial SSU rRNA
Rfam family: Bacterial small subunit ribosomal RNA
Source: RNAcentral
CCACCAGACUCCUACGGGAGGCAGCAGUGGGGAAUAUUGCACAAUGGGCGCAAGCCUGAUGCAGCCAUGCCGCGUGUAUGAAGAAGGCCUUCGGGUUGUAAAGUACUUUCAGCGGGGAGGAAGGGGUUAAGGUUAAUAACCUUAGCCAUUGACGUUACCCGCAGAAGAAGCACCGGCUAACUCCGUGCCAGCAGCCGCGGUAAUACGGAGGGUGCAAGCGUUAAUCGGAAUUACUGGGCGUAAAGCGCACGCAGGCGGUCUGUCAAGUCGGAUGUGAAAUCCCCGGGCUCAACCUGGGAACUGCAUUCGAAACUGGCAGGCUGGAGUCUUGUAGAGGGGGGUAGAAUUCCAGGUGUAGCGGUGAAAUGCGUAGAGAUCUGGAGGAAUACCGGUGGCGAAGGCGGCCCCCUGGACAAAGACUGACGCUCAGGUGCGAAAGCGUGGGGAGCAAACAGGAUUAGAUACCCCGGUAAG